RNAcentral lists this ribosomal RNA (497 nucleotides) under uncultured bacterium. Its description in RNAcentral is "partial 16S ribosomal RNA". It matches the Rfam family "Bacterial small subunit ribosomal RNA", at positions 28 to 507 of the family's 1533-position model. The record is from RNAcentral.
GAUGAACGCUGGCGGCGUGCCUAAUACAUGCAAGUCGAGCGAACAGAUAAGGAGCUUGCUCCUUUGACGUUAGCGGCGGACGGGUGAGUAACACGUGGGUAACCUACCUAUAAGACUGGAAUAACUCCGGGAAACCGGGGCUAAUGCCGGAUAACAUUUAGAACCGCAUGGUUCUAAAGUGAAAGAUGGUUUUGCUAUCACUUAUAGAUGGACCCGCGCCGUAUUAGCUAGUUGGUAAGGUAACGGCUUACCAAGGCAACGAUACGUAGCCGACCUGAGAGGGUGAUCGGCCACACUGGAACUGAGACACGGUCCAGACUCCUACGGGAGGCAGCAGUAGGGAAUCUUCCGCAAUGGGCGAAAGCCUGACGGAGCAACGCCGCGUGAGUGAUGAAGGUCUUCGGAUCGUAAAACUCUGUUAUUAGGGAAGAACAAAUGUGUAAGUAACUGUGCACGUCUUGACGGUACCUAAUCAGAAAGCCACGGCUAACUACAUG